RNAcentral lists this ribosomal RNA (400 nucleotides) under uncultured bacterium. RNAcentral describes it as "bacterial SSU rRNA". It matches the Rfam family "Bacterial small subunit ribosomal RNA", at positions 975 to 1375 of the family's 1533-position model. The record is from RNAcentral.
CUACUCUUGACAUCCAGAGAACUUAGCAGAGAUGCUUUGGUGCCUUCGGGAACUCUGAGACAGGUGCUGCAUGGCUGUCGUCAGCUCGUGUUGUGAAAUGUUAGGUUAAGUCCCGCAACGAGCGCAACCCUUAUCCUUUGUUGCCAGCGGUCCGGCCGGGAACUCAAAGGAGACUGCCAGUGAUAAACUGGAGGAAGGUGGGGAUGACGUCAAGUCAUCAUGGCCCUUACGCCCAGGGCUACACACGUGCUACAAUGGUCGGUACAGAAGGCAGCGAAGUCGUGAGAUGGAGCAAAUCCCAAAAGCCGGCCCCAGUUCGGAUUGUAGUCUGCAACUCGACUACAUGAAGAUGGAAUUGCUAGUAAUGGCGAGUCAGCAACAUCGCCGUGAAUACGUUCCC